CCGUUUUUGUAUUUUAAGCGGGUGGGGGGGGGCUUUCGGGAGGGGAAGCCUCGCCCGCGGAGAAGCGGGGGCUGGGAGCCACCGAAGAGGCCCGUCGAGGGGAUGUGGCGGUGGAUCCGGCAGCAGCUGGGUUUUGACCCACCACAUCAGAGUGAUAACCGAACUAUUUAUAUAGCCAAUCGUUUUCCUCAGCAUGGUCAUUAUGUUCCUCAGAAGUUUGCAGAAAACAGAAUAAUCUCCUCUAAGUAUACUGUAUGGAAUUUUGUUCCCAAAAAUUUAUUUGAGCAGUUCAGAAGGGUAGCCAACUUUUAUUUUCUUAUUAUAUUUUUGGUUCAGCUUAUGAUAGAUACACCUACAAGUCCAAUAACCAGUGGAUUGCCAUUGUUUUUUGUAAUAACUGUGACUGCCAUAAAGCAGGGCUAUGAAGAUUGGUUACGCCAUAAAGCAGACAAUGAAGUGAAUGGAGCUCCAGUGUAUGUUGUUCGCAGUGGUGGCCUUGUAAAAACAAGAUCAAAGAACAUUCGGGUGGGAGAUAUUGUCAGAGUAGCCAAAGAUGAAACUUUCCCUGUUGAUCUCGUACUUCUGUCAUCUGACAGAGCAGAUGGCUCUUGCUACGUUACUACUGCAAGCUUGGAUGGAGAAACUAAUCUUAAGACGCAUGUUGCAGUCCCCGAAACAGCAGUAUUGCAGUCAGUUGCCAAUCUGGACAAACUUGUAGCUGUUAUAGAAUGUCAGCAACCAGAAGCAGAUCUAUACAGAUUCGUUGGACGAAUAACAAUAAGUCAACAAAUUGAGGAAAUAGUACGACCUCUUGGACCUGAAAGUCUCUUACUUCGUGGAGCAAGGUUGAAAAACACCAAAGAAAUUUUUGGUGUUGCAGUGUAUACAGGAAUGGAGACGAAGAUGGCAUUAAAUUACAAGAGUAAAUCACAGAAACGAUCAGCAGUAGAAAAGUCUAUGAAUUCCUUUUUAAUUAUCUAUCUAAUAAUCCUCCUCUUUGAAGCAAUCUUGAGUACAAUAUUGAAAUAUGCCUGGCAGUCUGAAGAAAAGUGGCAUGAGCCUUGGUAUAACCAGCAAACUGAUCAUGAAAGAAACAGCAGCAAGAUUCUGAGAUUUAUUUCAGAUUUCCUUGCUUUCCUGGUCCUUUACAACUUCAUUAUUCCCAUUUCACUGUACGUGACUGUUGAGAUGCAGAAAUUUCUAGGAUCUUUUUUUAUUGGUUGGGAUCUUGACCUCUAUCAUGAAGAAACAAACGAGAAGGCCCAAGUGAAUACUUCAGACCUCAAUGAAGAGCUGGGACAGGUGGAGUAUGUGUUUACAGAUAAAACUGGUACAUUAACUGAAAAUGUGAUGCAGUUUCGGGAAUGUUCUAUUAAUGGUAUAAAGUACCAAGAGAUCAAUGGCAAACUGGUUCCAGAAGGGCUGAUUGAGGAUGUUCCAGAUGGAAUACAGCCUAGACUGACGGAAGAGGAAGAAAUCUUCCUGAAAGCUGUUUGUCUCUGUCACACGGUACAAAUUAAUAAUGACCAAACUGACGGCAUUUGUGACAGUCCUUGGCGUAGCAAUGGCAUAUCCUCUCAGCUGGAAUACUAUGCCUCCUCCCCAGAUGAAAAGGCUUUAGUCGAAGCUGCCUGCAGGGUUGGUGUUGUGUUUACUGGAGCAAGCGCAGAAAGUAUGGAGCUUAAAAGCUGUGGAAAGCCAGAAAGGUACAAAUUACUACAUGUUUUGGAGUUUGAUGCAAAUCGCAGAAGAAUGAGCGUAAUUGUAGAAAGCUCAUCAGGUGAGAAGCUCUUAUUCACCAAAGGUGCAGAAUCCGUUAUUCUUCCUCGCAGUACAAGGGGAGAGGUAGAAAAAACCAGAAUUCAUGUGGAUGAAUUUGCUUUGAAAGGAUUAAGAACUCUGUGUGUAGCUUACAGAAAAUUCACCCCUAAGGAGUAUCAGGAAGUUGAAAAACGCCUUUUUGAGGCAAAAACCGCUUUACAACAGCGGGAAGAGCGAUUGUCGGAGGUGUAUAACUUUAUAGAAAAUGACCUGGAACUGCUUGGAGCUACAGGAGUGGAAGACAAACUCCAAGACAAAGUCCAGGAAACCAUAGAAGCCCUCCGACUGGCAGGUAUUAAAGUGUGGGUGCUCACUGGCGACAAGCACGAAACCGCUGUCAGUGUCAGUUUAUCUUGCGGACACUUCCAUAGAACCAUGAACAUCCUGGAACUUGUGCAACACAAAUCAGACAGUACAUGUGCAGAGCAGCUGAGGCAGCUAGCCAGAAGAAUAGAGGAGGACCAUGUAAUCCAGCAUGGGCUGGUGGUGGACGGGACCAGCCUCUCCCUCGCACUCAGGCAGCAUGAGAAGCUCUUCAUGGAAGUCUGCAGAAAUUGCUCUGCCGUCCUGUGCUGUCGCAUGGCGCCUCUGCAGAAAGCAAAGGUUGUGCGGCUGUUGAAAACCUCUCCAGAGAAGCCUAUCACAUUAGCUAUAGGAGAUGGAGCUAACGAUGUGAGCAUGAUACAGGAAGCUCAUGUUGGGAUAGGUAUUAUGGGUAAAGAAGGAAGACAAGCUGUAAGAAACAGUGACUAUGCAAUUGCAAGAUUUAAAUUUCUUUCCAAAUUACUUUUGGUCCACGGCCACCUUUAUUAUAUUAGAAUAGCAACCCUUGUACAGUACUUUUUUUACAAGAAUGUGUGCUUUAUUACACCACAGUUUUUAUAUCAAUUCUUUUGCUUGUUUUCACAACAAACUCUGUACGACAGUGUGUACCUGACUUUGUACAACAUUUGUUUCACCUCCCUGCCAGUCCUCAUGUACAGUCUUUUUGAACAGCACGUGCAUCCCCAUGUAUUACACAGCAAGCCAACGCUGUAUCGAGACAUCAGUAAAAAUGCCCACUUGGGCUUUAAGCCUUUCCUUUACUGGACCUUCCUGGGAUUCGUUCAUGCUUUUGUUUUCUUCUUUGGCUCAUAUAUUCUGAUGGGAGAAGACACUUCAUUGCUGGGAAAUGGCCAGAUGUUUGGAAACUGGACAUUUGGUACUCUGGUUUUCACGGUUAUGGUUAUAACAGUGACAAUGAAGAUGGCUUUAGAGACUCAUUUCUGGACCUGGAUAAACCAUUUUGUUACCUGGGGUUCCAUUGUCUUUUACUUUGUAUUCUCCUUGUUCUAUGGGGGAAUUAUCUGGCCAUUUUUGCACACCCAAGACAUGUACUUCGUAUUUGUCCAGUUGCUCUCCAGUGGCUCUGCUUGGUUUGCCAUAAUCAUCAUAGUUGUCACUUGUUUGUUUUUCGAUAUUGUGAAAAAAGUACUGUACAGACACCUGCAGCCCACAAGUACAGAAAAAGCCCAGAUGUACUCCAGCAGAGUUGCUUUAAGCGAGGAAUGCAUCGCACUGCAGCCAUUGUCCAGGGCUCCGAGUCAGCUGAGCAAAAUUAGCUUACUGAGACAAGUGCAGGUAUCAACUGCUUGGACUCCAUGUGCUGCUUCUCAGAUGGAGAAACAGCAUGUGCGCCUCUUAGAAGAAUGCUGGAGCGAGUGAUGGGGAGCUGCAGCCCGACGCGAAUCAACAGUGUAUGUAAGGGCGCAGAAGAAGCAUGUAUUUAAACAAAUCAGGAAGAGUUUAAGAGUCCAUCUGUCCAAGCCCAGGUAUAAUUUUCUUUCUGAGGGGAAAAAGCAAAGUCAGAGAAGAUUUAUUUCAUUGUACCAUUUGUUUUGUGCAUGAUAAACAGGACCUGGGGCAAAUGGAAGCAGAGCUAAUAUAUUUUGUAUUGGACCACAGAUGCUUUUAUAAUUUUAUCUUUUUAAAAAAAAUAAUAAUGUUUGUGCAUUUUGGUUUCUUGGUCUGAUUAGUUCUAGGUUCAGCCAUAGGCCGAACAAAAUGAAUCAAGUGUGAAAUUCAUGAAUUAUAACAUAUUUGUACCUGUUAAGACCAGCCAGGAAAAGUAGAGUGGGCCCUGCUUUACUGAUUUUAGGUAAGGGGUAAGUUCUGUUAAGUCUCUCUAGUUCACGGAAUACACACAAGGAAACCUAGUGUCAAAUUAGCCUUGCGUAUUGCCGAUUCCCUGGAAGAAUCUGAACUGCAAAAUCCCAGUUCAGCAGUCAAAUGUUCAUACAAGAUUCCCAGUCCGAAACCCUGCGAAGAGGCAUGAUGUACGAACAGGGCCUUCUUCAUUCAUAUCACUGUGGAAGCCUUCACCACGGUAGGAACUCUGCAAAAACGUUGGCCACGGAGAACUGCAUCUGCAUCAAACCCUUGACUUUGCUCCUUAGGAUUGCUAGAUGGGGCUUCUGGAGGUACUCAAGUGACUCAGAAAGCCAUCUCUCUUACAGAGUGUGACAUUGUGCAUAUAGCCUCAUGCUGUCUGGCACAGUCAUGCCCAGAACAAGCCAACAUGGAUUGUCCACCUUACGGGCAGCUCUGUGCGUUGCUUCGUUGGCCAAGUCCGUUCUUUCUUCCAACCCCAGUCUGCACAUGGCCAGGUUUGUGGCAUCCCCAUUCAUAGUUGGGUGUGUCUUUUCUAAAUGCCACACGUUGAUUGUGGAGCAUGUUCCCUGCUCUCCGUGUUGGUGUGGGAGUGGUUCUGGGAAGAGUUUUGCGGCUGUCUUUUUGCGAUGUGCAUCUGUUGUAUUUUGGCAUUGCUGACAAGCUUUCUGCUGCUGCCCCAAAUGUUACCCUCAACAGAAAAUAUUGGGAUGUAUCUGGCUCAACAGGGACAGAAGAGAAUCCUCUCACAGCAACCUUUGACAAUUGGGCCUUGUUUAUCAUGAGAACAGGCGUAAGGAACGUCCAGCUCCCUCGAGCCCUAUACAAAAUGGCCAGUGGUCUGGAAUGAUGGCGGUUGUAGUUCACUAACAUGGGGCAGACCAUGAGUUCUUCACCCAUGGCUUGGAGAGUUCAAUGUGGAGAGGAGACUUAAAUGCCCAUGGAAAUCAGCAGGUAUUUAGGCCCCCUUGUUUAGAACCAGUUCAGACUUUACAGAUUUUUCCACAAAAGGGGACUUGGCCAUCCUCAGAAGUUCAGCUGCUGGGAGAAAGAAACUCCUAAUGACAACAGACAAGAAAUAAGCUUGGGACUCAGGGACUCAGUGGUCAGGCAUCUCCUACAUGCAGCUCUAUUUGCAAUACUUUGGGGGUAUCUGCAGAGCCCCACAGAUACUACUUAUUUCCAAAUACUAUGGAGUUUUGUCUGCUUAAAACAUGCUAUGCAUAUUUAAGGAUGUUUGGAGAUUUGCGGGAGGGGGCAUCGUACCAAAAACACUCCCUGCAAAGUCCCGUUGCCUUCAGUGGGCCUGCACAGCCUCUGCCCAUGUAAAGUUUCACCGGUAUCGCCCUGUGUGAAGCUGCAUUUUGUAGUGCUAAACAUUGUUCAGCCAUCGAAAGAAGGUAGUCUGAAACAUUCUUUUGACCUGCCCCCCCCCAAAGUUUUUAAGGCAGAAUAGAAUCUCUCUUUAAAAUUUAAUAUUCCAAAUUUGAUUGCUUUGUGAACUUCACUUUCCAAGUGUAUCUAACAUGCAAUCAGUAGAACAUUUGUAUAUUGAAAUCUCUAUAUAUAUCAUGCAGGAAUGAUUUAAAUGCCCAAUAGGAAAAACGGGGGGAAAGCAGCCAGGAGCUGGAGUUCAGGUAGCUCAAGUGUAGAGACCUUGUUUUGAACGCAGAAGGUUCCAAGUUUAGGCCCUGGCGUCAACUGGCUUUGAAACACUUUGGACUGAACCCCGAAGAUCUGCCAACCAGUGUAGACUACUGAGCUAGAUGGGCUAGGAAGUUGAUGCAUAGUGGCUUCCUGUAACACAUACCCAUUGUCAUAAGGAUGCUGCGGAAACCUGCUGUGGCUCCACUCCCUAAAAUCCCAGGGAUUGCAAUUGGGUGCAGGUACUACACAUUUGCCAACACUUACAGAACUUCCAGGCUUCCCCAGGGAUAAGGAAUGCAAACCCAAACAUCUGGAGUGUAGACUGGCUUGAGAGAGAAGGAGGGACGUUUGUGUUAAACCCGGGCCCCACAUUGAGAAAUGUGACUAACGCUGGACCCUGGAAAUGUUGAAGGACUGACUACAAGUAGAGCCUGUGUGCUUAUUAUGGAGCAAUGCCAACAAUAAUUUGGUGGCGGACACAACUAUAGCCAUCUUUAUCCUUUUUGCCAUGUGUCAUGUAAACGCGUUGAACCUCUGUAACAGCUGAUGGACAGUAGAAUGAUAAGUGACUGAGAAGGGUCCUGAGACAUAUUAGGAAGUAUGUAGGCUGUGCUUUCCUUCACUUGGCGUCCUCUUGUUGAAAUACCACAUGCGGUGGCCGGCGGGCACCAAGUUGGAGAAAAAUCACUGCAAAGGGAUGGUUGAUCAUGCUCAAACCUGCUGUCUCUUAACUCCACUGUGCAUGGUGGACUUUUGUAGCAGAGUGAACUUGGAUAGGAUUGUGUUGUAAUUCGGCCUCACUAAAAUCAAUGGGGGGCAGGUAAAGCACAGCUCAUAAUCUCCGUCUUGGGGCAGAAUUUAGGUUUCAAUGAGAUCCAGUGCGACAGAUAGUGCUUGUUGUGUGUGUACUCACCAUUUUCAACAAGAAUUGCCAUUUCAGAGAAAGCCUAUUUUGUUACUUAGCUGCAGGAUUAAAUAUUUACUGACUUGUGUUUUUUUUAAAGAAGCUGGGAAAUACUUUAUUUUUAAAACGAGGGUGGUUUCAGGUAUGAGACAUUAUUCUUACUAUGCCAAAGACUGCGCUUCAUCAAACAUGCUUGAUUCAAGUUCCUGCAAAUUGGUCCUCCUUCAUGAAGAAACAGCGAGCCCUCUUGAUUCUCAGUUGUGGACAGGCCUGGUGGGGUGCACUGCUCUCAGGGUUUGAAAAGGCCCCUGCAUGGUGCCGUUGGAAGGAGCACCAAAUGCAGCCCCACCUUAGCUGUUUGAAACUGUGCAAGAGGGACAUUAAAGCAGCAUUGCCUGUUGGGAACCAGAGCAAUAAUAGGUACCAAGUAAUCUUGACCCCGGGCACUGUGGCCACCUCUACCAUCGUUUUUAGAUCCUCUGUGGAAACAGAGUUUAAUAUAGCGUGCUGACCGUACUGCUAUGUCAAUAGGUUGUUCUACAAAAGUUUAUGGAAAUUAUAUUUAUUGAAUAAAUCUUUUGACUUUUA
Podarcis raffonei (Aeolian wall lizard) is the source of this 7108-nucleotide RNA transcript. It is a transcript of the gene named ATPase phospholipid transporting 11B (putative), with no coding region annotated. The transcript is spliced from 32 exons. NCBI's taxonomy places the organism in Eukaryota, Metazoa, Chordata, Lepidosauria, Squamata, Lacertidae. The record is from RefSeq and is a predicted model, not a curated record.